RNAcentral lists this ribosomal RNA (2898 nucleotides) under Klebsiella pneumoniae. Its description in RNAcentral is "bacterial LSU rRNA". It matches the Rfam family "Bacterial large subunit ribosomal RNA". Lineage: Bacteria; Pseudomonadati; Pseudomonadota; Gammaproteobacteria; Enterobacterales; Enterobacteriaceae. The record is from RNAcentral.
UUAAGCGACUAAGCGUACACGGUGGAUGCCCUGGCAGUCAGAGGCGAUGAAGGACGUGCUAAUCUGCGAAAAGCGUCGGUAAGGUGAUAUGAACCGUUAUAGCCGGCGAUGUCCGAAUGGGGAAACCCAGUGUGAUUCGUCACACUAUCGUUAACUGAAUACAUAGGUUAACGAGGCGAACCGGGGGAACUGAAACAUCUAAGUACCCCGAGGAAAAGAAAUCAACCGAGAUUCCCCCAGUAGCGGCGAGCGAACGGGGAGCAGCCCAGAGUCUGAAUCAGCUUGUGUGUUAGUGGAACGGUCUGGAAAGUCCGACGGUACAGGGUGAUAGUCCCGUACACCAAAAUGCACAGGCUGUGAACUCGAAGAGUAGGGCGGGACACGUGGUAUCCUGUCUGAAUAUGGGGGGACCAUCCUCCAAGGCUAAAUACUCCUGACUGACCGAUAGUGAACCAGUACCGUGAGGGAAAGGCGAAAAGAACCCCGGCGAGGGGAGUGAAAAAGAACCUGAAACCGUGUACGUACAAGCAGUGGGAGCACCUUCGGGUGUGACUGCGUACCUUUUGUAUAAUGGGUCAGCGACUUAUAUUCUGUAGCAAGGUUAACCGUAUAGGGGAGCCGCAGGGAAACCGAGUCUUAACUGGGCGUUAAGUUGCAGGGUAUAGACCCGAAACCCGGUGAUCUAGCCAUGGGCAGGUUGAAGGUUGGGUAACACUAACUGGAGGACCGAACCGACUAAUGUUGAAAAAUUAGCGGAUGACUUGUGGCUGGGGGUGAAAGGCCAAUCAAACCGGGAGAUAGCUGGUUCUCCCCGAAAGCUAUUUAGGUAGCGCCUCGUGAACUCAUCUUCGGGGUAGAGCACUGUUUCGGCUAGGGGGUCAUCCCGACUUACCAACCCGAUGCAAACUACGAAUACCGAAGAAUGUUAUCACGGGAGACACACGGCGGGUGCUAACGUCCGUCGUGAAGAGGGAAACAACCCAGACCGCCAGCUAAGGUCCCAAAGUCAUGGUUAAGUGGGAAACGAUGUGGGAAGGCACAGACAGCCAGGAUGUUGGCUUAGAAGCAGCCAUCAUUUAAAGAAAGCGUAAUAGCUCACUGGUCGAGUCGGCCUGCGCGGAAGAUGUAACGGGGCUAAACCAUGCACCGAAGCUGCGGCAGCGACACUAUGUGUUGUUGGGUAGGGGAGCGUUCUGUAAGCCUGCGAAGGUGUGCUGUGAGGCAUGCUGGAGGUAUCAGAAGUGCGAAUGCUGACAUAAGUAACGAUAAAGCGGGUGAAAAGCCCGCUCGCCGGAAGACCAAGGGUUCCUGUCCAACGUUAAUCGGGGCAGGGUGAGUCGACCCCUAAGGCGAGGCCGAAAGGCGUAGUCGAUGGGAAACAGGUUAAUAUUCCUGUACUUGGUGUUACUGCGAAGGGGGGACGGAGAAGGCUAUGUUAGCCGGGCGACGGUUGUCCCGGUUUAAGCAUGUAGGCUGGUUGUCCAGGCAAAUCCGGAUAAUCAAGGCUGAGGUGUGAUGACGAGGCACUACGGUGCUGAAGUAACAAAUGCCCUGCUUCCAGGAAAAGCCUCUAAGCAUCAGGUAACAUCAAAUCGUACCCCAAACCGACACAGGUGGUCAGGUAGAGAAUACCAAGGCGCUUGAGAGAACUCGGGUGAAGGAACUAGGCAAAAUGGUGCCGUAACUUCGGGAGAAGGCACGCUGGUGUGUAGGUGAAGUCCCUGCGGAUGGAGCUGAGACCAGUCGAAGAUACCAGCUGGCUGCAACUGUUUAUUAAAAACACAGCACUGUGCAAACACGAAAGUGGACGUAUACGGUGUGACGCCUGCCCGGUGCCGGAAGGUUAAUUGAUGGGGUUAUCCGUAAGGAGAAGCUCUUGAUCGAAGCCCCGGUAAACGGCGGCCGUAACUAUAACGGUCCUAAGGUAGCGAAAUUCCUUGUCGGGUAAGUUCCGACCUGCACGAAUGGCGUAAUGAUGGCCAGGCUGUCUCCACCCGAGACUCAGUGAAAUUGAACUCGCUGUGAAGAUGCAGUGUACCCGCGGCAAGACGGAAAGACCCCGUGAACCUUUACUAUAGCUUGACACUGAACAUUGAGCCUUGAUGUGUAGGAUAGGUGGGAGGCUUUGAAGCGUGGACGCCAGUCUGCGUGGAGCCAACCUUGAAAUACCACCCUUUAAUGUUUGAUGUUCUAACGUUGGCCCCUUACCGGGGUUGCGGACAGUGUCUGGUGGGUAGUUUGACUGGGGCGGUCUCCUCCCAAAGCGUAACGGAGGAGCACGAAGGUUAGCUAAUCCUGGUCGGACAUCAGGAGGUUAGUGCAAUGGCAUAAGCUAGCUUGACUGCGAGCGUGACGGCGCGAGCAGGUGCGAAAGCAGGUCAUAGUGAUCCGGUGGUUCUGAAUGGAAGGGCCAUCGCUCAACGGAUAAAAGGUACUCCGGGGAUAACAGGCUGAUACCGCCCAAGAGUUCAUAUCGACGGCGGUGUUUGGCACCUCGAUGUCGGCUCAUCACAUCCUGGGGCUGAAGUAGGUCCAAGGGUAUGGCUGUUCGCCAUUUAAAGUGGUACGCGAGCUGGGUUUAGAACGUCGUGAGACAGUUCGGUCCCUAUCUGCCGUGGGCGCUGGAGAAUUGAGGGGGGCUGCUCCUAGUACGAGAGGACCGGAGUGGACGCAUCACUGGUGUUCGGGUUGUCAUGCCAAUGGCACUGCCCGGUAGCUAAAUGCGGAAGAGAUAAGUGCUGAAAGCAUCUAAGCACGAAACUUGCCCCGAGAUGAGUUCUCCCUGAGACUUUAAGUCUCCUGAAGGAACGUUGAAGACGACGACGUUGAUAGGCCGGGUGUGUAAGCGCAGCGAUGCGUUGAGCUAACCGGUACUAAUGAACCGUGAGGCUUAACCUU